This 314-nucleotide long non-coding RNA is filed under the name Homo sapiens (human). RNAcentral describes it as "HSALNT0364492". Lineage: Eukaryota; Metazoa; Chordata; Mammalia; Primates; Hominidae. The record is from RNAcentral.
GUAGUGUCUGCCUUUCUGGCACUUCCUUCCUCUGCUGAAUCAUCUCAGCACUGCCAGGGAAACAAUUUGAACCCUUUUGCCUUCUGAGUCUGCCUUGACUGCCUGAAUGAGACAUGGCUGGGGACUUUAAAACCACUGCAGUUACUGAGUCCACCACCCCUGCAAGUGAGACACAAGGCCAAAAGAACAUCGAGUUUAGGAUUCUGCUGUGUUUUGUUUUUAUUGCUUCAUAAUACUAAAGUUCCAUCUCAGAGAUGAAACAUUGUAUAAAGAGACCUAGGUUUGCUUUCACUGAUGAGACAACUGAAACACAG